AGGAUUAGGAGCUUUUCUCACCACUUGUAUUAUCAGGAUGGAGAACUGAGUCAUGUUAAAUUACAGGGGGAAGAGAUAUUCCCAGAAAUUCCACAGAUCGGAGAUUGACUUGCUCCUUCACUCUGGAUCCUGACCUCUGUGCAUCAGUUGGAAAGCCGAGCUCCGUAUCUUUUGUAAGUUCAGCUAAUGUGUAGUUUUGUGUCUGAUGGUUCAGCUACGCAGUGAUAUGAUCUGUUGCACAUUAAAAGACCGCAGUUGCCACAAUCAUCACCUUGUUUGGUCUGAGAUAGAGCUGUGUAUUUUCAGAAGACUUGAGAGAAAGGUGUCAUAGUGGUGAGAAUUGCUGAGUGCCCUCAAAUAGGAGCCAAGGCCGAUCAGCUGUUUGGAGGAGAAAUCAGGCUUUUACCUUGCAGCGUGAAGCACGCUCUCCCCACUGAGAAGGUUGCCAUCAAAGCACUGAGGCUGAAAUUUUGUGCUGUGUGUUGACUGAAGU
Oxyura jamaicensis (ruddy duck) is the source of this 493-nucleotide long non-coding RNA. RefSeq lists it as uncharacterized. The transcript is spliced from 2 exons. NCBI's taxonomy places the organism in Eukaryota, Metazoa, Chordata, Aves, Anseriformes, Anatidae. The record is from RefSeq and is a predicted model, not a curated record.